GACAGAGGGUGCAAACGUUGUUCGGAAUUACUGGGCGUAAAGCGCGUGUAGGCGGCCCUGCAAGUCGGGUGUGAAAUCCCACGGCUCAACCGUGGAAGUGCAUUCGAAACUACAGGGCUAGAGUUCUGGAGAGGAAGGUGGAAUGCUUGGUGUAGAGGUGAAAUUCGUAGAUAUCGAGCGGAACACCGGUGGCGAAGGCGGCCUUCUGGACAGUAACUGACGCUGAGACGCGAAAGCGUGGGGAGCAAACAGG
This 253-nucleotide ribosomal RNA is filed under the name uncultured bacterium. Its description in RNAcentral is "partial 16S ribosomal RNA". It matches the Rfam family "Bacterial small subunit ribosomal RNA", at positions 524 to 776 of the family's 1533-position model. The record is from RNAcentral.